This 463-nucleotide long non-coding RNA is filed under the name Homo sapiens (human). Its description in RNAcentral is "non-protein coding lnc-PLA2G4A-19:1". Lineage: Eukaryota; Metazoa; Chordata; Mammalia; Primates; Hominidae. The record is from RNAcentral.
AGUUACAUUCUUCACUACACUCACAGUUACUUGAAACUGAGGACAUUCCUGAUAUUCAAGCUGUGCCUGGAGACUUUCAAUGAGACAAGGUUGCAUCCAUCUGCAAUUCUAAGCAGCUAUUUAGGUGUGUUCUGUAUUAUUUACUCACUAUUGUUUAUUACAAUUUUGUGUUAUCGAGACUAUAAUGUCAAUCAUGACUCCUCUUUUUAAACCAGAUUCAAAUUCACUGCAUCUUUUUUUGUUUUUUAUUAUACUUUAAGUUUUAGGGUACAUGUGCACAAUGUGCAGGUUAGUUACAUGUGUAUACAUGUGCCAUGCUGGUGUGCUGCACCCAUUAACUUGUCAUUUAGCAUUAGGUAUAUCUCCUAAUGCUAUCCCUCCCCACUCCCCCAAACCCACAACAGUCCCCAGCGUGUGAUGUUCCCCUUCCUGUGUCCAUGUGUUCUCAUUGUUCAGUUCCCAC